This 500-nucleotide ribosomal RNA is filed under the name Vibrio cholerae. RNAcentral's name for it is "partial 23S ribosomal RNA". It matches the Rfam family "Bacterial large subunit ribosomal RNA", at positions 2453 to 2925 of the family's 2925-position model. The record is from RNAcentral. Lineage: Bacteria; Pseudomonadati; Pseudomonadota; Gammaproteobacteria; Vibrionales; Vibrionaceae.
CGGAUAAAAGGUACUCCGGGGAUAACAGGCUGAUACCGCCCAAGAGUUCAUAUCGACGGCGGUGUUUGGCACCUCGAUGUCGGCUCAUCACAUCCUGGGGCUGAAGUCGGUCCCAAGGGUAUGGCUGUUCGCCAUUUAAAGUGGUACGCGAGCUGGGUUUAGAACGUCGUGAGACAGUUCGGUCCCUAUCUGCCGUGGGCGUUGGAAGAUUGAAGGGGGCUGCUCCUAGUACGAGAGGACCGGAGUGGACGAACCUCUGGUGUUCGGGUUGUGUCGCCAGACGCAUUGCCCGGUAGCUAAGUUCGGAAUUGAUAAGCGCUGAAAGCAUCUAAGCGCGAAGCGAGCCCUGAGAUGAGUCUUCCCUGACAGUUUAACUGUCCUAAAGGGUUGUUCGAGACUAGAACGUUGAUAGGCAGGGUGUGUAAGCGUUGUGAGGCGUUGAGCUAACCUGUACUAAUUGCCCGUGAGGCUUAACCAUACAACACCCAAGGGGUUUUGUA